AACGGGAAAGACCGAAAACCGAACAGAGUAGGCA
Molecule: non-coding RNA, 34 nt
Filed under: unclassified sequences
Description: DUF805b RNA
Rfam family: DUF805b RNA
About the family: Bacteroidetes, Chlorobi (1 example), Proteobacteria. Lineage (Flavobacteria)
Source: RNAcentral